Pollicipes pollicipes is the source of this 573-nucleotide long non-coding RNA. RefSeq lists it as uncharacterized. The transcript has 3 exons. The record is from RefSeq and is a predicted model, not a curated record. Lineage: Eukaryota; Metazoa; Arthropoda; Thecostraca; Pollicipedomorpha; Pollicipedidae.
AGGUAAUGUUGACGCUCGGGGGACCUCCAGGCUGCUCCACUCAUGUAUAAAACUGGUGUCACAGCGGGAGGAACCAACAGUCGCAGAAGAGCACGCACACAGCCAGCAGGUAUGAAGGUCGUCGUUCUCCUGCUUGUGGUCUGCGCCUCCGUGGCCUGGGCGAAGCCUCUCUGCAUCGGAGGCAUCUGCAUUCCUAGCGGUCAGGCCACUGGAGGGGCUUCGGGCACCGUCACCAGUGGCACCAGCAAUACACCUGGUGGCACCAGCAAGGUUACGUCUGUCAGCUCCAGCGCAACGGGAUCCGCCAGCGGGCCGUGUGCAAACAGCCACAACUCCGCACAUGCCUCCAACAAGAACAAACAGGGACUGCUGGGCAAUGCGGAAUCAAGCGACACCGGAGCCGUCUCAAACCAGAGCACCGGCUGCUAAAUGACUCAGUCGCAGUCAUCUCGGCAUGCGUCGCAAUGGCACAUGUGAAACGCUUGUUACGUCGACAGACAUUGUCAUAUCGGGCGUCGGUUGUGACAUGGAAUCGUAAUGUGCAAUACAGGCUCAUCCCCGACAUGAUUCAGC